AACGAACGCUGGCGGCGUGGGUAAGACAUGCAAGUCGAACGAAGAAUCUCAAUAGCUUGCUAAUGAGAUUUUUAGUGGCGGACGGGUUAGUAACACGUGAGAUACCUACCCUUUAGACAGGAAUAGCCCAUGGAAACGUGGAAUAAUACCUGAUAGUCUCUACGGAGUAAAUGAUGCCUUCUGGUGUCGCUAAAGGAUGGGCUCGCGGCCUAUCAGUUUGUUGGUGAGGUAAAGGCUCACCAAGACUACGACGGGUAGCUGGUCUGAGAGGACGAUCAGCAACACUGGAACUGAGACACGGUCCAGACACCUACGGGUGGCAGCAGUCGAGAAUCAUUCACAAUGGAGGAAACUCUGAUGGUGCAACGCCGCGUGGAGGAUGACGGCCCUAGGGUUGUAAACUCCUGUCAUUGGGGAGUGAGACUUAUGCGUUAAGAGCGUGUAAGUUUGAUAGUACCCAAAGAGGAAGGGACGGCUAACUUCGUGCCAGCAGCCGCGGUAAUACGAAGGUCCCAAGCGUUGUUCGGAAUAACUGGGCGUAAAGCGUGUGUAGGCUGCGCGGAAAGUCAAAUGUGAAAGCCAAGGGCUCAACCCUUGAACUGCAUUCGAUACUCCCGUGCUAGAGUAAUGGAGAGGUAAGUGGAAUUCCUGGUGUAGCAGUGAAAUGCGUGGAUAUCAGGAGGAACAUCAAUGGCGAAGGCAACUUACUGGACAUUUACUGACGCUCAGACACGAAGGCUAGGGGAGCGAAAGGGAUUAGAUACCCCUGUAGUCCUAGCAGUAAACGGUGCUCGCUUGGU
Molecule: ribosomal RNA, 800 nt
Filed under: uncultured Verrucomicrobium sp.
Lineage: Bacteria; Pseudomonadati; Verrucomicrobiota; Verrucomicrobiia; Verrucomicrobiales; Verrucomicrobiaceae
Description: bacterial SSU rRNA
Rfam family: Bacterial small subunit ribosomal RNA
Source: RNAcentral